AACAACUAAAGAAGUGAUACAUGUAGAAAAACUCUAUGUUUCAAAAGGUAUAUAAAUAAUGUAAAUAGAUCAUUAAAUUUAUAAAUCAUAAAGUGAUAAAGUAAUACUCUAUCUAAUACAUUCAAAAGUUGAAAAAUAUGACUACAUUUAUCAAGCUUGUUCAUGUUAUGAUUGUUUUUCUUUCUUUAUUUCUUGUUAUAAUCAACGUUAAUGGAGAAGGAGAAGAGACACUUAUAGAGCGUCGUACAUGUUUUACCCCUGCUGAUUGCCCAACAAGUGAUUGUGAACCUCCUACGAGACCUUUUUGUGCAUUCAAGUAUUGUAUUUGUGGUUGAGUGAUUUCACAUAUGAUCAUUACCAGAUACAAUAGAGUAUAGACAUGCCUUACUAUAGUAUUCAAUAAAUUGUCCUUAGUUAUGCUGUUUGCACCUAACACUUUAAUUUAAUGUUUGUUUUUAUUUAAAUUUCAAGGACCUUAUAGUUAUGGCUUUGUACUCUAGGAAAAUGGUAAUGAAAUGAAAUAAAGUAUUAAAAAUAUAAUACUUCAAUUUAGCUAUAUCAA
Vicia villosa (hairy vetch) is the source of this 562-nucleotide RNA transcript. RefSeq lists it as uncharacterized. NCBI's taxonomy places the organism in Eukaryota, Viridiplantae, Streptophyta, Magnoliopsida, Fabales, Fabaceae. The record is from RefSeq and is a predicted model, not a curated record. The transcript is spliced from 2 exons.